GUGCCGACGUGUCUUGUAAGGUGCGGCUAGAAACUGGGGACAUGGCAGCGCCUGGCCCAGCGCUCUGCCUCUUCGACGUGGAUGGGACCCUCACCGCCCCGCGGCAGAAAAUUACCAAAGAAAUGGAUGACUUCCUACAAAAAUUGAGGCAGAAGAUCAAAAUCGGAGUGGUAGGCGGAUCGGACUUUGAGAAAGUGCAGGAGCAACUGGGAAAUGAUGAAUAUUCAAAGUCAUCUGGGUGAGGCCCUAAUCCAAGAUUUAAUCAACUACUGUCUGAGCUACAUUGCAAAAAUUAAACUCCCGAAGAAGAGGUGGGUUUGCUUUUAACAAAGAGGCAUCACUGGAACAUAGCGUAGUGUCACAUGGUGGGCUAAUGUGGGCAUUCUCCAAAUAGGAUUAUAAAAAUCACCUAAAGAGUUUUAAAAACAAAGUCUGAUAUUUAGCGUGCCCCUUGGCAAUUCUGAUUCAGAAAGCCUGAGAGCCGAGCUUGGAAAUCCACAUUUUCUCUGGCUGCCCUGGUGCUGCUGGUUCACAGCAGGGUUCAGUAGCCACCAUGGGCCAGCGAAUUUAAAUCCGAAUCCCA
Molecule: small RNA, 583 nt
Filed under: Pan troglodytes (chimpanzee)
Lineage: Eukaryota; Metazoa; Chordata; Mammalia; Primates; Hominidae
Description: retained intron
Source: RNAcentral